This 879-nucleotide unclassified non-coding RNA is filed under the name Hevea brasiliensis (rubber tree). Lineage: Eukaryota; Viridiplantae; Streptophyta; Magnoliopsida; Malpighiales; Euphorbiaceae. The record is from RNAcentral.
CCAUACAAAAGACACGUUCUUUUUCACUAAUUCAUAAAGUGGGGCAGCAAUGGAACUGAAAUGAGGCACAAACCUAUGAUAAAAAAUUGCUAGCCCAUGAAAACUCCUCACUUUACCAGCAUUCCUAGGUUUUGGCCACUCUUCGAUUGCCUUUAUUUUCUCUUCAUCAACUUCUACACCAUUGGCACUCACAACAAAGCCUAGAAACACUACUUUAUCAAUGCAAAAAGAACACUUCUUAACAUUUGCAAAUAACUUUUCUUGUCUCAAAAAAUAGCCCUAAGAUGUUGCAAAUGCUCAUCCAUGCUCCUACUAUAUACAAGUAUGUCAUCAAAAUAUACAACAAUGAAUUUUCCUAUAUAAGCCCUCAAAACAUGGUUCAUCAAUCUCAUAAACGUGUUUGGGGCAUUGGUAAGCCCAAAUGGCAUAACCAGCCACUCAUAUAAACCAUGCUUUUUCUUGAAAGCAAUUUUCCACUCAUCACCCAAUUUCAUCCUAAUUUGGUGGUAACCACUUUUCAAGUCAAUCUUAGAAAACACAAUACUACCACGCAGCUCAUCAAGCAUAUCAUCUAACCUUGGAAUAGGAUGACGAUAUUUUACCGUUAUUUUGUUGAUUACACGGCAGUCCACACACAUUCGGUAUGUCCCAUCCUUCUUUGGCACUAGAAGCACUGGUACUACACAUGGGCUCAUACUCUCCCUCAUGUGACCCUUGGCUAGGAGCUCCUCCACUUGGCUCUGCAAUUCCUUAGUCUCUUCUGAAUUACUCCUAUAAGCAGGUUGGUUGGGAAUAAUACCUCCAGGAAUGAAGUCAAUCUGAUGCUCAAUCCCCCUAAUUAGUGGAAGUCCAGGAGGUAUCUCAUCAGGGAAUACAUCU